UCUCCGUUGGUGAACCAGCGGAGGGAUCAUUACCGAGUUUACAACUCCCAAACCCCAAUGUGAACGUUACCAAACUGUUGCCUCGGCGGGAAUUCUGCGCCGGGCGCGUCGCAGCCCCGGACCAAGGCGCCCGCCGGAGGACCAACCCAAAACUCUUAUUGUAUACCCCUCGCGGGUUUUUUCUAUCUGAGCCUUCUCGGCGCCCCUAGCGGGCGUUUCGAAAAUGAAUCCAAACUUUCAACAACGGUUCUCUUCGUUCUGGCAUCGAUGCAGAACGCAGC
This 281-nucleotide unclassified non-coding RNA is filed under the name plant metagenome. Its description in RNAcentral is "partial contains small subunit ribosomal RNA, internal transcribed spacer 1, and 5.8S ribosomal RNA". The record is from RNAcentral.